UAGCGGUCCCUGGGGAGUUGUGGGUC
Molecule: non-coding RNA, 26 nt
Filed under: Homo sapiens (human)
Lineage: Eukaryota; Metazoa; Chordata; Mammalia; Primates; Hominidae
Source: RNAcentral